Molecule: ribosomal RNA, 1201 nt
Filed under: metagenome
Description: bacterial LSU rRNA
Rfam family: Bacterial large subunit ribosomal RNA
Source: RNAcentral
GGGCCUGAUCCUUGAAACACUUUGCGUGUUAGGGGUGAGGGUCGCAGAGUCUAGGGAGAAGCGACUGUUUAUCAAAAACACAGGUCCGUGCGAAGCCGUAAGGCGAUGUAUACGGACUGACGCCUGCCCGGUGCUGGAAGGUUAAGCGGACUGGUCAGUCCUCACUUGGUGGGGGUGAAGCUAGGAAGUUAAGCCCCAGUAAACGGCGGUGGUAACUAUAACCAUCCUAAGGUAGCGAAAUUCCUUGUCGGGUAAGUUCCGACCUGCACGAAUGGCGUGACGACUUCUCUACUGUCUCGACCACGAACUCGGCGAAAUUGCAUUACGAGUAAAGAUGCUCGUUACGCGCAGCAGGACGGAAAGACCCCGGGACCUUUACUAUAGCUUGGUAUUGGUGUUCGGUACGGCUUGUGUAGGAUAGGUGGGAGACUGUGAAGCUGUCACGCUAGUGAUGGUGGAGUCAUUGUUGAAAUACCACUCUGGCCGUGCUGCACAUCUAACCUCGGCCCGUGAUCCGGGUCAGGAACAGUGCCUGGUGGGUAGUUUAACUGGGGCGGUUGCCUCCUAAAGAGUAACGGAGGCGCUCAAAGGUUCCCUCAGCCUGGUCGGCAACCAGGUUGUGAGUGUAAGUGCACAAGGGAGCUUGACUGUGAGACAGACAUGUCGAACAGGUACGAAAGUAGGAACUAGUGAUCCGGCGGUGGCUUGUGGAAGCGCCGUCGCUCAACGGAUAAAAGGUACCCCGGGGAUAACAGGCUGAUCCUGCCCAAGAGUUCAUAUCGACGGCAUGGUUUGGCACCUCGAUGUCGGCUCGUCGCAUCCUGGGGCUGGAGUAGGUCCCAAGGGUUGGGCUGUUCGCCCAUUAAAGCGGUACGCGAGCUGGGUUCAGAACGUCGUGAGACAGUUCGGUCCCUAUCCGCUGCGCGCGUAGGAGAAUUGAGAAGGGCUGUCCCUAGUACGAGAGGACCGGGACGGACGAACCUCUAGUGUGCCAGUUGUCACGCCAGUGGCAUGGCUGGUUGGCUACGUUCGGAAAGGAUAACCGCUGAAAGCAUCUAAGCGGGAAGCCUGCUUCAAGAUGAAUUCUCCCUCCAACAUGUGUUGGGUGAGGCCCCCCACAGACCAUGGGGUUGGUAGGCCAGAUGUGGAAGCCUGGUAACGGGUGAAGCUGACUGGUACUAAUGGCCGACCACCUACAAAA